AGCAGCCGCGGUAAUUCCAGCUCCAAUAGCGUAUAUUAAAGUUGUUGCAGUUAAAAAGCUCGUAGUUGAACUUCGGGGUUUACCCAUUGGUCAGGCUUAAUUGUCUGUACUGGUGAGAUAAAUCUCUACCUUCUGAGGAACUUUCGUGCCAUUUAGUUGGUGUGAUAGGAAAUCAGGACUGUUACUUUGAAAAAAUUAGAGUGUUUAAAGCAGGCUAACGUCUGAAUACAUUAGCAUGGAAUAAUGAAAUAGGACGGAUUGGUUCUAUUUCGUUGGUUUCUAGGAUCACCGUAAUGAUUAAUAGGGAUAGUUGGGGGCAUUAGUAUUCAAUUGUCAGAGGUGAAAUUCUUGGAUUUAUUGAAGACUAACUAUUGCGAAAGCAUUUGCCAAG
RNAcentral lists this ribosomal RNA (391 nucleotides) under uncultured Diversispora. RNAcentral describes it as "SSU rRNA". It matches the Rfam family "Eukaryotic small subunit ribosomal RNA", at positions 569 to 962 of the family's 1831-position model. Lineage: Eukaryota; Fungi; Glomeromycota; Glomeromycetes; Diversisporales; Diversisporaceae. The record is from RNAcentral.